UACAGAGGGGGCAAGCGUUGUUCGGAAUUACUGGGCGUAAAGGGCGCGUAGGCGGCCUGCUAAGUCGAACGUGAAAUCCCUGGGCUCAACCCAGGAACUGCGUCCGAUACUGGUUGGCUUGAAUCCGGGAGAGGGAUGUGGAAUUCCAGGUGUAGCGGUGAAAUGCGUAGAUAUCUGGAGGAACACCGGUGGCGAAGGCGACAUCCUGGGACGGUACUGACGCUGAGGCGCGAAAGCGUGGGGAGCAAACAGG
RNAcentral lists this ribosomal RNA (253 nucleotides) under uncultured bacterium. Its description in RNAcentral is "partial 16S ribosomal RNA". It matches the Rfam family "Bacterial small subunit ribosomal RNA", at positions 524 to 776 of the family's 1533-position model. The record is from RNAcentral.